This 561-nucleotide long non-coding RNA is filed under the name Bos indicus x Bos taurus (hybrid cattle). Its description in RNAcentral is "lncRNA (ENSBIXG00000012986.1)". Lineage: Eukaryota; Metazoa; Chordata; Mammalia; Artiodactyla; Bovidae. The record is from RNAcentral.
GCAGUGUGCCUCCGCGCGCCCGAGGGGUAGCAGAACCCCGGAGGAAGGGGCGGAUCGGGCGCGGUGUUUGGGACGGAGCGGGGCGCGCGGCGCUCGAAGCACUUACUCGGCGCGUUCCGGGACUGGUGGAGACUGCAUGGGUACCUCUCAGACUGCACCCUUCGAGCUGUAGGUUCGCAGGCCCAAGGCAGCCGGACUCGACGGCUCCCCAUUAUAUCAUCUCUCCUUUUGAUCACUGUUCCUGAUUGUGGCUUUAUCCAAGCAUUAAAUUGUGUGCCUUUUGUUCCUUGAAGAAAGAGCUGGUGCUAGCAACUCUCAAUUCCGUCUCGUCUCUGGACCCAGCUCAAAGCUCUGGAUUUGUUCUCUUCCCAUACCUGAGCUGGAGCCUUCUGUCACCCGAAAGUGCUUCAUGCAGUCUUCCUCUCAAGCCCUCACUUCUCUCCCAAGGUGAGUUAAUGUGGGGAAAAUCCUGGUAUUCUGAAGAUGUUGCGGCACAGUAUUGUUUCCUGUUCAAAUUACAAGUAACUUCAAGAAUUUUCAGGAAGAAAAGAAUUGAGAUUG